AUAAACGCUGGCGGCGUGCAUGAGACAUGCAAGUCGAACGGACACUCGGGGCUUGCUCCGAGUGUUAGUGGCGGACGGCUGAGUAACGCGUAGGUGACCUGCCCCGAAGUGGGGAAUAACUGCCCGAAAAGGUGGCUAAUACCGCAUGUGGUGGAGCGUUCAUUCGCUCCAGUAAAGCCGCAAGGCGCUUCGGGAGGGGCCUGCGUCCGAUUAGCUCGUUGGUGGGGUAACGGCUCACCAAGGCGACGAUCGGUAGGUGGUCUGAGAGGACGAUCACCCAGACUGGGACUGAGACACGGUCCAGACUCCUACGGGAGGCAGCAGUCGGGAAUUUUGCGCAAUGGACGAAAGUCUGACGCAGCAACGCCGCGUGAGGGAUGACGGCCUUCGGGUUGUAAACCUCUUUUAUCAAGGAAGAUAAUGACGGCACUUGAUGAAUAAGUCACGGCUAACUACGU
Molecule: ribosomal RNA, 458 nt
Filed under: uncultured bacterium
Lineage: Bacteria
Description: bacterial SSU rRNA
Rfam family: Bacterial small subunit ribosomal RNA
Source: RNAcentral